Glossina palpalis gambiensis is the source of this 194-nucleotide non-coding RNA. The record is from Rfam. NCBI's taxonomy places the organism in Eukaryota, Metazoa, Arthropoda, Insecta, Diptera, Glossinidae.
AUGUAAUUAAAUUAAGUGUUUUAGGCAAAGCUGUUUUUGAAGCAAUAAAAGAAAAGAUAUACAGAAAAAUUGAAAACAUCAAACAUUUCAACAACACANGGGGUAGUUUUUAGUACGUAUGCGCCAGGGAUGGCGAAUCGUGCAUGCUGCUACUAAGACCCAGCAGUAUCUUUCGAAGAUUUUCUACCUCCAGC